RNAcentral lists this ribosomal RNA (305 nucleotides) under uncultured bacterium. RNAcentral's name for it is "bacterial SSU rRNA". It matches the Rfam family "Bacterial small subunit ribosomal RNA", at positions 333 to 653 of the family's 1533-position model. The record is from RNAcentral.
GGUUGCCUACGGGGCGCAGCAGUAGGGAAUAUUGCUCAAUGGGGGAAACCCUGAAGCAGCAACGCCGCGUGAAGGAAGAAGGCUUUCGGGUUGUAAACUUCUUUUGACAGGGAAGAGUAGAAGACGGUACCUGUCGAAUAAGCCACGGCUAACUACGUGCCAGCAGCCGCGGUAAUACGUAGGUGGCAAGCGUUGUCCGGAUUUACUGGGUGUAAAGGGCGUGUAGCCGGGUUGACAAGUCAGAUGUGAAAUCCUGCGGCUUAACCGCAGAACUGCAUUUGAAACUGUUGAUCUUGAGUACUGGA